CCCACUUCGGUGGGGGAUGAGUGGCGAACGGGUGAGUAACACGUGGGUAAUCUGCCCUGCACUCUGGGAUAAGCCUUGGAAACGAGGUCUAAUACCGGAUAUCACAAUCUCUCGCAUGGGGGGUUGUUGAAAGUUCUGGCGGUGCAGGAUGAACCCGCGGCCUAUCAGCUUGUUGGUGGGGUAGUGGCCUACCAAGGCGACGACGGGUAGCCGGCCUGAGAGGGUGACCGGCCACACUGGGACUGAGACACGGCCCAGACUCCUACGGGAGGCAGCAGUGGGGAAUAUUGCACAAUGGGCGCAAGCCUGAUGCAGCGACGCCGCGUGAGGGAUGACGGCCUUCGGGUUGUAAACCUCUUUCGCCAGGGACGAAGCGCAAGUGACGGUACCUGGAUAAGAAGCACCGGCUAACUACGUGCCAGCAGCCGCGGUAAUACGUAGGGUGCGAGCGUUGUCCGGAUUUAUUGGGCGUAAAGAGCUCGUAGGCGGUUUGUCGCGUCGGCCGUGAAAUCUCCACGCUUAACGUGGAGCGUGCGGUCGAUACGGGCAGACUUGAGUUCGGUAGGGGAGACUGGAAUUCCUGGUGUAGCGGUGAAAUGCGCAGAUAUCAGGAGGAACACCGGUGGCGAAGGCGGGUCUCUGGGCCGAUACUGACGCUGAGGAGCGAAAGCGUGGGGAGCGAACAGGAUUAGAUACCCUGGUAGUCCACGCUGU
Molecule: ribosomal RNA, 714 nt
Filed under: Amycolatopsis kentuckyensis
Lineage: Bacteria; Bacillati; Actinomycetota; Actinomycetes; Pseudonocardiales; Pseudonocardiaceae
Description: bacterial SSU rRNA
Rfam family: Bacterial small subunit ribosomal RNA
Source: RNAcentral